This 314-nucleotide ribosomal RNA is filed under the name uncultured bacterium. RNAcentral's name for it is "partial 16S ribosomal RNA". It matches the Rfam family "Bacterial small subunit ribosomal RNA", at positions 355 to 661 of the family's 1533-position model. The record is from RNAcentral.
UAGGGAAUCUUCGGCAAUGGGGGCAACCCUGACCGAGCAACGCCGCGUGAGUGAAGAAGGUUUUCGGAUCGUAAAGCUCUGUUGUAAGUCAAGAACGGGUGUGAGAGUGGAAAGUUCACACUGUGACGGUAGCUUACCAGAAAGGGACGGCUAACUACGUGCCAGCAGCCGCGGUAAUACGUAGGUCCCGAGCGUUGUCCGGAUUUAUUGGGCGUAAAGCGAGCGCAGGCGGUUUGAUAAGUCUGAAGUUAAAGGCUGUGGCUCAACCAUAGUUCGCUUUGGAAACUGUCAAACUUGAGUGCAGAAGGGGAGAG